Small nuclear RNA from Jaculus jaculus (lesser Egyptian jerboa), 158 nucleotides. RefSeq annotates it as U1 spliceosomal RNA. The record is from RefSeq and is a predicted model, not a curated record. The transcript has a single exon. Lineage: Eukaryota; Metazoa; Chordata; Mammalia; Rodentia; Dipodidae.
AUUUUUAAAAAAGAAUGAAAUCAUUACACACACAAAGGUGGUUUUCCCAGGGCAAGUAUUCUCCAUGACACUCCUAAUCGCUGACCCCUACAAGCUCCCCAAAUGCAGGAAACUCCAUAAUUUGUGGUAGUGGGGGACAGCAUUUGUUCUUUCCCCUG